This 72-nucleotide transfer RNA is filed under the name Stegodyphus mimosarum. It matches the Rfam family "tRNA". From Rfam's summary of the family: Transfer RNA (tRNA) molecules are approximately 80 nucleotides in length. The record is from Rfam by way of RNAcentral. Lineage: Eukaryota; Metazoa; Arthropoda; Arachnida; Araneae; Eresidae.
GCCUUCGUAGUGUAGUGGUCAGCACGCUCGACGCGUAACCGCGGGACCGUGGUUCGAUUCCCGGCGAAGGCC